CGCCGGCUGGCAGAAGGGCGCGCGCUGAUUGGCUGGCUGCAGGGGAAGGGGCGGGGCACGCAGAGGAAGUCCCGGCGGCCGCCAGGCACUCGAGCAGCUGGAAGGAAAAGGGGCGGCCCUGAACGCCCGAAUGGGAGAGGGAGGAAGAUACCAGGAAAUGCUGCCAGCCUUUAACUAACUAUCCUUCUUUCCCCUCCGUGCACCUCCCUCCCCCGCCCUCCUCCUCUUCUGGACAGUCCAGCUCUGUUGUCGACUGGGGAGAUUGCUGGGCUCCAGAGCCGAAUCGACCGGGGGAGAGCCCAGAUUCAAGCUCUGCAACAGGAGAAAAAGAAACUGCUUGAGCAGCUGAAGGGGGCAUUGAAUGAAUAUUAGAAUGAAUACAUUCCCUAUAAUUUGAAGUCCAAAUAAAUGAUUUAGUCACUUGUUUGUCA
Dromiciops gliroides (monito del monte) is the source of this 431-nucleotide long non-coding RNA. RefSeq lists it as uncharacterized. The transcript is spliced from 2 exons. Lineage: Eukaryota; Metazoa; Chordata; Mammalia; Microbiotheria; Microbiotheriidae. The record is from RefSeq and is a predicted model, not a curated record.